Molecule: ribosomal RNA, 648 nt
Filed under: Stygopholcus cf. absoloni Bal15
Lineage: Eukaryota; Metazoa; Arthropoda; Arachnida; Araneae; Pholcidae
Description: partial 28S ribosomal RNA
Rfam family: Eukaryotic large subunit ribosomal RNA (bases 426-648)
Source: RNAcentral
GGAAGGCGAGACGGAGGUGGGCCUCGCCCAGAAGGGCGGGGGCAGGUCCUCCGUCUCCGUUACGUCCGACGCACUUCAUCACGCGCUGCGGACGCCGCAGCCGGUCCGGUCGACAAAGAGUCCGCCUUGAGGGCGGGCGCCGGCAGGUCGCGCCCCCUCCACCGGAGGAAGGCCCGUCGGUAGCCAGCCCGCCCGUGGCGAGACGCCGGACCGAGGCGAACGGUCUCCGUCCCGGAGACUCGCCGUCCCCUUCCUUAAUAGGCAGCGAGCCCCGCCGGCAGGUGCGGCGCGGCCUGGCGGAGCCCACUCUCGCGUAGUGGGCCCGCGCGCCGCGCACCUCGGUGGCCGGUGGGCGCUCGCGGAGGGGAAUCAGACGGCUGGCGGCGAGUAGGUCGGUCACCCACCUGACCCGUCUUGAAACACGGACCAAGGAGUCUAACAUGCGCGCGAGUCGCGGGGUCUUGCGUAGGCCCCGGGGCGCAGUGAAAGCGAGGGGGCCGCCCGGCCCCCCAGCGGUUGGGACCCCGGCGGUGGCUCGCCGGGGGCACCAACGACGCGUCCCCGUCCCGCCUCGGCUGGGGCGCAGUCGGAGCGCACACGUUGGGACCCGAAAGAUGGUGAACUAUGGCCGGGCAGGACGAAGCCAGA